This is a long non-coding RNA of Chinchilla lanigera (long-tailed chinchilla), 489 nucleotides long. RefSeq lists it as uncharacterized. The record is from RefSeq and is a predicted model, not a curated record. The transcript is spliced from 3 exons. Lineage: Eukaryota; Metazoa; Chordata; Mammalia; Rodentia; Chinchillidae.
UUUCUCUCCAUGCUGCUCAUCCGAGUCCCAGCUGCUUGCACUGUAGUCCCCAGGGCCACCGCCAAACCAUCUGGGACUGGGGAGAAACGUCACCCUCAAGCCCCUCUCUGGAAUUGUUUCUUAGCCGCCUCCCCGAUACGGUGUGCACGUGGGAUUCUGGGCCCUUCGUUCUUUCUAGUGGCAUAAUUUAUGUGACUGAUGGAUAUUAACCACACCAGGAAUGGCUCAGCCAGGAGCUGGGGUUCGGAUUUUCCCUCCAUGGAGCCCAGAUAGCAGCAGCCUGCAGCAAAGUCAGAGGUGCUGUUCCCAUUUGCUGCAAAGAUUACCUAGAUGCCCUUGAAUUAUGGGGAACAAGAGCUUGGACACGUGCACACUGUACCUUCUUGGUAGGUUACACCUCUUCGGUAAGUUCUAGAAGAUUUCCCAUUACUUGUUAUUACUUUUUUUUAGCUCAAAAAAAUUUUUUUUGAAGCUGGCACGAGUAUUUCA